This 23-nucleotide small nuclear RNA is filed under the name Arabidopsis thaliana (thale cress). Its description in RNAcentral is "snRNA_03900". The record is from RNAcentral. Lineage: Eukaryota; Viridiplantae; Streptophyta; Magnoliopsida; Brassicales; Brassicaceae.
UACCCGCUGAGUUUAAGCAUAUC